This 62-nucleotide transfer RNA is filed under the name Hemisodorcus derelictus. Its description in RNAcentral is "tRNA-His". The record is from RNAcentral. Lineage: Eukaryota; Metazoa; Arthropoda; Insecta; Coleoptera; Lucanidae.
AUUUGAAUAGUUUAAUUAAAAUAUUGAUUUGUGGGAUCAAAGAUGUAGUAAUACUUUAAAUA